RNAcentral lists this ribosomal RNA (402 nucleotides) under uncultured Mesorhizobium sp. Its description in RNAcentral is "bacterial SSU rRNA". It matches the Rfam family "Bacterial small subunit ribosomal RNA", at positions 355 to 774 of the family's 1533-position model. Lineage: Bacteria; Pseudomonadati; Pseudomonadota; Alphaproteobacteria; Hyphomicrobiales; Phyllobacteriaceae. The record is from RNAcentral.
UGGGGAAUAUUGGACAAUGGGCGAAAGCCUGAUCCAGCCAUGCCGCGUGAGUGAUGAAGGCCCUAGGGUUGUAAAGCUCUUUCACCGGUGAAGAUAAUGACGGUAACCGGAGAAGAAGCCCCGGCUAACUUCGUGCCAGCAGCCGCGGUAAUACGAAGGGGGCUAGCGUUGUUCGGAAUUACUGGGCGUAAAGCGCACGUAGGCGGACUAUUAAGUCAGGGGUGAAAUCCCGGGGCUCAACCCCGGAACUGCCUUUGAUACUGGUAGUCUUGAGUCCGGAAGAGGUGAGUGGAAUUCCGAGUGUAGAGGUGAAAUUCGUAGAUAUUCGGAGGAACACCAGUGGCGAAGGCGGCUCACUGGUCCGGUACUGACGCUGAGGUGCGAAAGCGUGGGGAGCAAACA